This 592-nucleotide long non-coding RNA is filed under the name Castor canadensis (American beaver). RNAcentral's name for it is "lncRNA (ENSCCNG00000027205.1)". Lineage: Eukaryota; Metazoa; Chordata; Mammalia; Rodentia; Castoridae. The record is from RNAcentral.
GGGUCUUUGGAUUACAUUAUUUAAUUAAUAUACUUUUGGUAUUUCUAUAAAAUGUUUUCCUUUUUUUCUUCCCCAGCAACUCGUUUUCAUCCUGUUGGUUUCAUCUUAAUGCCAACAUCAUGUCUGGUUCUAAUGGUGCCAAAGAUAAUUCCCAUAACAAGGCCCGGACAUCUCCUUAUCCAGGUUCAAAAGUUGAACGCAGCCAGGUUCCUAAUGAAAAAGUGGGCUGGCUUGUGGAGUGGCAAGACUACAACCCUGUGGAAUAUACUGCAGUUUCUGUCUUGGCAGGACCCAGGUGGGCGGAUCCUCAAAUCAGUGAAAGCAGCUUUUCUCCCAAGUUUAAUGAAAAGGAUGGGCAUGUCGAGAGAAAGAGCCAGAAUGGCCUGUAUGAGAUUGAAAAUGGAAGACCUAGAAAUCCUGCAGGGCGGACAGGACUGGUUGGCCGGGGGCUUUUGGGAAGAUGGGGUCCAAAUCAUGCUGCAGAUCCAAUUAUAACCAGGUAAGAACUGUAGCUACAUGUGUAUGUUUGUAAAUUACACACAUGUGUAUGUGUAUAUGCCUGUGUGUUUGGAUAUGCAGUUGUAUGUGCAGG